RNAcentral lists this ribosomal RNA (505 nucleotides) under uncultured bacterium. RNAcentral describes it as "partial 16S ribosomal RNA". It matches the Rfam family "Bacterial small subunit ribosomal RNA", at positions 28 to 507 of the family's 1533-position model. The record is from RNAcentral.
GACGAACGCUGGCGGCGUGCCUAAUACAUGCAAGUCGAACGCACAGUUUAUACCGUAGCUUGCUACACCAUAGACUGUGAGUUGCGAACGGGUGAGUAACGCGUAGGUAACCUGCCUGGUAGCGGGGGAUAACUAUUGGAAACGAUAGCUAAUACCGCAUAAUAUUAAUUAUUGCAUGAUAAUUAAUUGAAAGGUGCAAUUGCACCACUACCAGAUGGACCUGCGUUGUAUUAGCUAGUAGGUGAGGUAACGGCUCACCUAGGCGACGAUACAUAGCCGACCGGAGAGGGUGAUCGGCCACACUGGGACUGAGACCCGGCCCAGACUCCUACGGGAGGCAGCAGUAGGGAAUCUUCGGCAAUGGACGAAAGUCUGACCGAGCAACGCCGCGUGAGUGAAGAAGGUUUUCGGAUCGUAAAGCUCUGUUGUAAGAGAAGAACGGGUGUGAGAGUGGAAAGUUCACACUGUGACGGUAGCUUACCAGAAAGGGACGGCUAACUACGUG